This 274-nucleotide ribosomal RNA is filed under the name uncultured bacterium. Its description in RNAcentral is "partial 16S ribosomal RNA". It matches the Rfam family "Bacterial small subunit ribosomal RNA", at positions 523 to 796 of the family's 1533-position model. The record is from RNAcentral.
AUACGGAGGGUGCAAGCGUUAAUCGGAAUUACUGGGCGUAAAGCGCGCGUAGGCGGUUGGACAAGUUGGAUGUGAAAGCCCCGGGCUCAACCUGGGAAUGGCAUCCAAAACUGUCCGACUAGAGUUCGGUAGAGGGGAGUGGAAUUCCACAUGUAGCGGUGAAAUGCGUAGAUAUGUGGAGGAACACCAGUGGCGAAGGCGGCUCCCUGGAUCGAAACUGACGCUGAGGUGCGAAAGCGUGGGUAGCAAACAGGAUUAGAUACCCCGGUAGUCC